RNAcentral lists this ribosomal RNA (507 nucleotides) under uncultured Flavobacteriales bacterium. RNAcentral's name for it is "bacterial SSU rRNA". It matches the Rfam family "Bacterial small subunit ribosomal RNA", at positions 69 to 575 of the family's 1533-position model. The record is from RNAcentral. Lineage: Bacteria; Pseudomonadati; Bacteroidota; Flavobacteriia; Flavobacteriales.
GUAGAAUGUCUUCGGAUAUUUGAGACCGGCGCACGGGUGCGUAACGCGUAUGCAACCUACCUCUUACUGGGGAAUAGCCCGGAGAAAUUCGGAUUAAUGCCCCAUAUGCUCGUACGACCUCAUGGUCGAGCGAGGAAAGUUCCGGCGGUAAGAGAUGGGCAUGCGUCCUAUUAGCUAGUUGGUGAGGUAAUGGCUCACCAAGGCGACGAUAGGUAGGGGGCCUGAGAGGGUGAUCCCCCACACUGGUACUGAGACACGGACCAGACUCCUACGGGAGGCAGCAGUGAGGAAUAUUGGGCAAUGGAGGAAACUCUGACCCAGCCAUGCCGCGUGCAGGAAGACGGCCCUAUGGGUUGUAAACUGCUUUUGUACGAGAAUAAACCCUUCCACGUGUGGAAGGCUGAAGGUACCGUACGAAUAAGGAUCGGCUAACUCCGUGCCAGCAGCCGCGGUAAUACGGAGGAUCCAAGCGUUAUCCGGAUUUAUUGGGUUUAAAGGGUCCGCAGG